ACACCCAGUCCACUUCCCCCCGCGACGACAGGCUCGGCCCAGCUCCACUCGCGCCCUUCGCCCGUUUCUCGGCUCAGAUGGACGAAAACUGUCAACUGAAAUCUGAGGCUCGUCAGAAAUCAGCGAGGAGCAACGGGGCCUCCCUUCGGGUCAGCUAAUGACAGACCAGAAACCGGGAGCACAGCGAUGUGCGCUGGAAUCGGGGUGUGAUUCUUUGGGUCUGACCCGUGCUGUUUCUUGGGCUUUGGGGUCAGUGGGCUCGGUAUUCAGACCCUCCGUCACUAAUUUAAUGACGUCGUUGUUCUAAUUCCGUAGGGAGGCAGAGUUCAAGUCUAGGAGCCGCCCGCGGCGGAUGGAUCUGUAACCUUUGAAGCCGGCUCGCGGGGCUGUGGUGCGUGUCUCCGGAGAACCUCGCGCGGCCGAGUCGCCCUUCUCCGGUUUCCUGCCGCUAACCUCUCCCUCUCUAACCUGAGCGUGUCUCAGGUCACCGCGGCCCCGGAGCCUGCGCUGGCACGCUGAACCUGCGCUGGAAACGGCCCACUGGGGAGCAGGACCUGAGUUCGGCACCGCGUGUUCACCUGAGAUAACGUGGCUCCGGAGUCAGAGGUCGCAGGCAAACAGUAAUUUAGCUUGCAGGCCCCAUUCUCCGCAUUAGCGUGAUAUAUGCAGAAGCCCGUAUUACCUAGAUGUGGAGCCUCGUAAAACACUACAAAUCCAUUAUUGUACAACUCUGCGUUGUUAUUAAUUGUCAUAAAUAUCGCCACAAUUUGAAUGGGUUGUCUCGGUCCAUCAGCUUAAUCCCACCACAGCUUUGCUGAGAACGCGCUACGCCAGAAUCCCUAGCCUUUAUGCUCCAGUGUCACUUCUAAAAGGCCGUGAUGAACACUGUAAUCCUUUUGCACAGACGUUACAAUAACUCUUCUGGGUAACGUGUUCCAGCAGAAGAGAAAAAUAAGACCCAGCUGCUUUGUGUGUUAAAUCGCAGAUAAAAUGAGUACAAACGCGCUUCUAUCUGUGUGGCAGCUCCGAUGAGCAGUAGCUAUUUGAAUGGGAAUAUCCAAUUCUGCUGCAAUUACAUGUGCACUGUCAAGUUCACAUUGUGAUGGGAUUUCAAACUCAAACUAUCCUGUCUCUGCCGCUCUUCAGAUCGACAAUACACAGACACGUCAACUCUGAUAUGUGUGUUCAACAUUCCACCAACCAAAUAACUUAAUAAAAAAUGAUCCCUGUG
This is a non-coding RNA of Lepisosteus oculatus (spotted gar), 1231 nucleotides long. NCBI's taxonomy places the organism in Eukaryota, Metazoa, Chordata, Actinopteri, Semionotiformes, Lepisosteidae. The record is from RefSeq and is a predicted model, not a curated record.